RNAcentral lists this ribosomal RNA (477 nucleotides) under uncultured bacterium. RNAcentral describes it as "bacterial SSU rRNA". It matches the Rfam family "Bacterial small subunit ribosomal RNA", at positions 772 to 1250 of the family's 1533-position model. The record is from RNAcentral.
ACGCAAUAGAUACCCAGGUAGUCCACGCCCUAAACGAUGUCUACUAGUUGUCGGGUCUUAAUUGACUUGGUAAACGCAGCUAAACGCGUGAAGUAGACCGCCUGGGGAGUACGGUCGCAAGAUUAAAACUCAAAGGAAUUGACGGGGACCCGCACAAGCGGUGGAUGAUGUGGAUUAAAUUCGAUGCAACGCGAAAAACCUUACCUACCCUUGACAUGGAUGGAAUCCCUGAGAGAUUGGGGAGUGCUCGAAAGAGAACCCAUUACACAGGUGCUGCAUGGCUGUCGUCAGCUCGUGUCGUGAGAUGUUGGGUUAAGUCCCGCAACGAGCGCAACCCUUGUCAUUAGUUGCUACGAAAGGGCACUCUAAUGAGACUGCCGGUGACAAACCGGAGGAAGGUGGGGAUGACGUCAAGUCCUCAUGGCCCUUAUGGGUUAGGGCUUCACACGUCAUACAAUGGUACAUACAGAGGGUCCG